Molecule: long non-coding RNA, 442 nt
Organism: Gracilinanus agilis (Agile Gracile Mouse Opossum)
Lineage: Eukaryota; Metazoa; Chordata; Mammalia; Didelphimorphia; Didelphidae
Exons: 2
Source: RefSeq, a predicted model, not a curated record
GCUCAUUUAUGAAUCGCAGCUACCGGGGGCUUCUGAGGAUCUCUGGACGACAGCUGAGUUAUUUGGGACCCAAUGGCCUUGGAGUUUGCCAGACUUCCUGGUCACAAAGCCUCAGGGACCCCCGAGGAUGCCAGCUAAUACUAACUGCAUAUCAGAUGCUGACAAGGAAAAUAACUUUUUCUUGUAUUUUUAGAUUUUAGGACAACCCAAACAACUCACACUUGACUAUAGCCAAAUGAUAAUUUUGAAUAGAUUUGCUUAAAAAAACUUUGGCUAGAAUUAACAUUCCUUUGGGAAAAUGCAAAAGCUGAUGGGAACCGUUCUUUAUAUCAAUUUUAAAAUGCAAGACUUAUCAUUUAAUUUUUUUUUCAAGCCAUUUUAAAUGUUAUGCCAUGACAGAAAUAAGCUGUAAUUUACUUUGUAAAUAAAUUUGAUAUUAAGA